UCCCUAGUCACUGAACAGAUACAAGAACAGACAGUGGCAGUACAAGUUCUCCACACUGUCUUCUUAAUAUGCUUCGACUCUGACCUGGAAAGUAACAGCCUUGCUGCUGAGA
This is an unclassified non-coding RNA of Chelonoidis abingdonii (Abingdon island giant tortoise), 112 nucleotides long. NCBI's taxonomy places the organism in Eukaryota, Metazoa, Chordata, Testudines, Testudinidae. The record is from Ensembl.